AUUGAACGCUGGCGGAAUGCGUUACACAUGCAAGUCGAACGGCAGCACGGACUUCGGUCUGGUGGCGAGUGGCGAACGGGUGAGUAAUACAUCGGAACGUGCCCAGUCGUGGGGGAUAACGUAGCGAAAGCUACGCUAAUACCGCAUACGAUCUAAGGAUGAAAGCGGGGGAUCGCAAGACCUCGCGCGAUUGGAGCGGCCGAUGGCAGAUUAGGUAGUUGGUGGGGUAAAGGCUCACCAAGCCGACGAUCUGUAGCUGGUCUGAGAGGACGACCAGCCACACUGGGACUGAGACACGGCCCAGACUCCUACGGGAGGCAGCAGUGGGGAAUUUUGGACAAUGGGCGAAAGCCUGAUCCAGCCAUUCCGCGUGCAGGAUGAAGGCCCUCGGGUUGUAAACUGCUUUUGUACGGAACGAAAAGGCUCUGGUUAAUACCUGGGGCUCAUGACGGUACCGUAAGAAUAAGCACCGGCUAACUACGUGCCAGCAGCCGCAGUAA
This 500-nucleotide ribosomal RNA is filed under the name uncultured bacterium. Its description in RNAcentral is "partial 16S ribosomal RNA". It matches the Rfam family "Bacterial small subunit ribosomal RNA", at positions 30 to 523 of the family's 1533-position model. The record is from RNAcentral.